Molecule: ribosomal RNA, 723 nt
Filed under: Acinetobacter sp. JA27-2
Lineage: Bacteria; Pseudomonadati; Pseudomonadota; Gammaproteobacteria; Moraxellales; Moraxellaceae
Description: bacterial SSU rRNA
Rfam family: Bacterial small subunit ribosomal RNA
Source: RNAcentral
GCGGACGGGUGAGUAAUGCUUAGGAAUCUGCCAUUUAGUGGGGGACAACAUUCCGAAAGGAAUGCUAAUACCGCAUACGUCCUACGGGAGAAAGCAGGGGAUCUUCGGACCUUGCGCUAAAUGAUGAGCCUAAGUCGGAUUAGCUAGUUGGUGGGGUAAAGGCCUACCAAGGCGACGAUCUGUAGCGGGUCUGAGAGGAUGAUCCGCCACACUGGGACUGAGACACGGCCCAGACUCCUACGGGAGGCAGCAGUGGGGAAUAUUGGACAAUGGGCGCAAGCCUGAUCCAGCCAUGCCGCGUGUGUGAAGAAGGCCUUUUGGUUGUAAAGCACUUUAAGCGAGGAGGAGGCUCUCUUAGUUAAUACCUAAGAUGAGUGGACGUUACUCGCAGAAUAAGCACCGGCUAACUCUGUGCCAGCAGCCGCGGUAAUACAGAGGGUGCGAGCGUUAAUCGGAUUUACUGGGCGUAAAGCGUGCGUAGGCGGCUUUUUAAGUCGGAUGUGAAAUCCCCGAGCUUAACUUGGGAAUUGCAUUCGAUACUGGGAAGCUAGAGUAUGGGAGAGGAUGGUAGAAUUCCAGGUGUAGCGGUGAAAUGCGUAGAGAUCUGGAGGAAUACCGAUGGCGAAGGCAGCCAUCUGGCCUAAUACUGACGCUGAGGUACGAAAGCAUGGGGAGCAAACAGGAUUAGAUACCCUGGUAGUCCAUGCCGUAAACGAUGUCUAC